This 3686-nucleotide small RNA is filed under the name Histoplasma ohiense. RNAcentral describes it as "hypothetical lncRNA". The record is from RNAcentral. Lineage: Eukaryota; Fungi; Ascomycota; Eurotiomycetes; Onygenales; Ajellomycetaceae.
CAACUCCCCUCGAUAGUCAACAGUGAUAGGUACUUCCUCGGUUGCUAAUGUUGACUGGGAGGGAUCGAGAUACUGGACUCACCCUAUACGAUGAGUUCCGACGACGAGACCGAUAACCCCCGUAAAAGACGGCGCAUAGCUGCUCCCGAGACCAGUCCGUAUGUGCUUCGAGAGCUCAUAGAUUCAGUUCCGGUUGCUGGUGACGGGGCCGAGCAAGAUGCCUAUAUCACCUGUGUAGAAUAUUGGAACGAUAAUCUCUACAUCGGAACCUCUGCUGGAGAGGUCCUACAUUUCGUUUCUUUCCCUUCCGAUUCGCAAGGAUUGGACGAGCCGUCCUUCAUUUUGGCUUCCAGGCUAUCCAUCACGCCAUCACAAAGCAGCCUACCUACAGACACACCGCUCGGAGUGCAGCAGAUACUCAUUCUACCUUCUACAUACAAAGCCUGCAUUCUAUGUAAUGGCGUCGUCACAUUUUACUCGCUCCCCGAGCUAAGUCCGACCUAUGGAACUACAAAAGUGGGCAACUGUAAAUGGAUUGGGGGGCUCGAUCUCAAUGAAUCACAUGAGGGUGCAGACCUGUUUGAUCCGGUGGUUAUGAUUGCAGUUUCUAACAGAAUAAUGCUUGUGAGAAUUGGCGACGAACCUCGAAGAGUGAGAAAUAUUGAGUUCCCAGGGUGUCUUGCAUCCGCUCGCAGAGGUACAAUUGCAUGCGUUGCAGACGCAUAUUCCUACUCUCUAUUGGAAGUGGAGCACCGCCAGAAGAUCCCAUUAUUUCCAAUUUCUUCCUCAGAGGAAAGCUUUGAAUCUGGUCAUGUGGAAGACAUACCAGUUCGAACUGACACCCCUGUUCAAGGAAACCAGCCUCCAUCGAUUUCAAAUGCCCCAGGACACGGUAGAAGCGCGAGUCUAAAUACACUAAGUGGCAUUGGGCACAUCCAACCAAACCCCCAUCCAAACUUUCCCGAAAGAUCAAGCUCCAUAACUCAGGAGUCCUACAUGAAGAAUAGGACUCUCCCUGGUUCGCCAGGCUCCCCUGAGAAAAAAUCUCCUGAUUCAUCAGGACCAUCUUCAGAGAACGGUGGGCCAGGCUCCGACGGAUCGUCUCCGUUAUACCAAAAGCCAUUGCCACCCCCACCUCCGAAACAAUCGACGACGCGACUCAAGCCACAUGUUGUAUCACCAACCGCUUCCGAAUUUCUCCUGGUUACGGGCACUGAGCCGUCGGAGCCUGGUGUGGGUAUGUUUGUUAAUGUCGAGGGGGACGUGGUUCGGGGGACUCUUGAGUUUCGCAAAUACCCAAUGGCCAUUGUAGUCGAUGACGACAGUGACGAGGGAAACCAUCCGCGUACGACUGACGAAAAUCAGAAUGGGUAUGUCUUGGCAGUUAUCAGCGCUGACGACGACGAGGACAGCCGAACAUAUCUCGAGGUGCAGAGGUGGAAUGCAGUUCCAGGGGAACGUAGGUUACAAAAGACAUCGGUAGAAAUACCCUCAGCCAGCCCAUCUCCCGGCGCGGUUGGAAUUAGGCGUUCUGUCGGUGCCAGCCGUGCCUCCUUUUCAGAAAUCGUCGAGGUGAUGCGGAUGGUUCGAUUAAAGUUGUCCAGCGUAAUUUCGCCAACGAUUCCUUCAACACCCUCAGAGAAUAGCGACCCGAGAACCCGGGCCUCCCUCGAACAUCUACAAAAGGAAAGGGAGCUAUUUGAUAAUCAGGACACCGACUCUGAGGGCCCAAAGCAUCCUUCUUCAUCGAGUGUUAGCCGUGACUGGGAAGUUCAAAGGAACCAAGAAGAAACCAAGUUUGCCCGUGGGCUCGCAACUGUCAACAGCAGUAUACUUCUCUGGGAAGGAAACAAAAUUUGGAGGGUUCUACAGAAUCCGCUGGCGCUGCAAUUGGAGAAUUCUCUCGAAUUGGCUAAGCAAACAAGUAGCACCGACGGGAAUGAGGCUGCUAUUGAUAGAGAAGCCAUUAUAGCUCUUAUCCAAGGACUUCAAGAUAUGGAACCCAAAACAGAAACAGAAUACAUCGGUUUGCGUUACGUCCGACAGAAGGCAAGUUUGCUUCUCUUUGUUGAUCUACUCUCCGCGAACGCUGCGUCUCGGGUCGAGUCGACGAUAAAAUCAACGGAAGAUGCGCUCGUCGCCGGGGAGCUCGACCCACGAGUGAUUCUUCUUUUAAUACCUCUACUUAAAGAUGAAGUACUUCAAGGCCCGCAAGGGAUCUGGGUAUACAAUGGCCUAGUCAAGGUGAUAUCAUCGCGUUUCAGUCCACCAGAUGUAGAAACAGAACAUAAACUACCAAAUUUUCGCAUCGAUGACGAUAUUCUUCACAUGAUUAGGCGUUACCUACUUGGUUGGCAGAAGAAACGAGGCUAUGGUAGUGUGACAGAUGAGACGUAUGUGUUUAAUAGUGUCGACGCUGCCUUGCUACAUUUACUGCUUUAUCUAGAUGCGAAACAUAUUCACGAAAGAAAUGCGCCACUUGGAGGUUCUCUGCGCUCAGAGCUGAACAAGCUCGUUGACAACUGGAAGGGUAACUUUGAUAGAGCUGUUCAUCUACUCGAAAAUUACAAUAGGCUUUUUGUGCUUAGCAGGCUGUAUCAGAGCCAGAAAAUGGCCAAGCAUGUUCUAGCAACAUGGCGAAGGAUAGUCGAGGGAGAAAAGGACGAAGGAGGGGAGCUAUCGGGUCCAGCAGCUGACAUUCAAAUUCGAAAAUAUCUGGUAAAAAUCCGAGAUGCUCAUUUGGUUGAGGAGUAUGGUCCGUGGCUUGCUGCGCGAAACCCCAAACUUGGAAUCCAAGUCUUUGCGGAUGAGAGCAGCAGAGUGAAAUUCAGUCCACCGCAGGUAAUUUCACUGCUGCAAAAUCAUGCUCCAGGGGCUGUCCAAGAGUAUCUAGAGCACCUUGUUUUCACAAAAAAGGAUACCCAAUACGCCGAUGAUCUUAUAGCCUACUAUCUCGACACUGUCCUUUCAAUCCUCGAAUCCUCCCCGGAAGCUCGCGCCUCGUUGACAGAAUCCUACUCAACCUACCGCGCGCUACAAGCCCCAAAACCUUCUUAUCUGAGCUUCAUCACUCACAACCACCCUCCAGAACCGUGGUGGCAAUCCCGUCUCCGCCUCCUCCAACUACUAGGAGGCGGCUCAACAACCCAAUUUACCUCCGCUUCCCCUCCGACCAACCUCUCCUACUCCAUCUCCGCAGUGCUCGCUCGCAUCGAACCGUUCAAAAACGAACUCGUCUCUGAAAACAUAAUCCUCGACGGCCGCCAAGGCCGCCACCGCGAGGCCCUCCGCCUCCUUACCCACGGCCUCAGCGACUACGACACCGCAAUUCGCUAUUGUGCGUACGGCGGACCAACCUGGUCCGCGCCACCGGCGACAACAACAAGCGACACGGCCACAGCCGCGAGACAGGCUGAACUCUUCACCUACCUCCUCACGGAGUUCCUGCAGAUCGCAGACCCCGUCUGCCGCGCCGAACGCACUAGCGAUCUGCUCGCGCGCUUCGCGUCGGUGUAUGAUAUUGCGGAUGUGCUCCGGUUGGUUCCAGACGAGUGGAGCGUGGAUAUCCUGAGCGAGUAUCUGGUGCGUGUUUUGCGGGGAGUCGUAAGCAGCGUGCGGGAGGCGAAGGUGCAACGGGCGCUCAGCGCGGGAUUGUAUUUGAGAGUUGACGCGGGAUUUGGGGAGAA